GCCGAGGGGAGCGUUGAGUGACUUAGGCCUGAGGAAAGUCAGGCAGUAUUUCGUGCCUGACCGCAGGCGAUCAGCGCUGCCUGGCCCCCCCAGUCCCGCGGGGCUUCGGUGGCGCUCCGCCGGGGCGCAGGUCCCCGCGGCCCUGUCUGGGGGCGGACGUCCCUCACCCUCCGGCGCCUCUCGGCUGGCACCUCGCUCUUGCGGUUGGGUGACUGGAUGGAGCCCGUCUCGUCAGCAUUUCGCAUAGGCAGAAGUUACAGAUAGAUGGAGAUUUACACGUGUAUAUGCAGCUAUGCUUUGCUUUUUAAAAGACAUUGGGAGAUCCAGCUUCUUAGUUAACUUUUCUAAAAAAAGAAAAUCAUUUAUUUUCAGCUGGACUGCUUGGACCACUGAAUCUUCACAUGGGUACGUGCUGGCAGGAUCAGGCCACGGACAUCUGUGGGAGAUACCGGUAGGAUGUUAUUGAGACAGUGUGGACUAUCCCUGCAACAUCACUCAAGUAAGAACUGAAAAGGAGAUAGUCUGUACUGUAAGGAAUAUAUUUGAAAGGAGGAUGAAGGUGAAGUGUUGGUUACACUAAUUCCAGGAGAACACUAUUCUUUCUCCUCCUGGAUCCAAGGAAGAAGAGUUAUCCAUAACUUGUGAGUAGUAUGAGUUACGAAACUGACUUUAAAAAGUGGUAAGCCACAAUAGUUUGGUAAACAAAUCUAACAGCAAUAGAAAUGCUAGGAAUGACUAUAAUGUUUUCCUUACAUCUUUAUACUUAAUAGUUGUUUAUGUUUUUUUUUAACAUCUUCUCUUUGCUGAUGCACAUACUCCAUGUUCUGUAAUGUCUAAAGGUUUGUCUGGCUGGGAAAACUGCAUCAACAGACUGCUAUAAUUAUACAGGCAGAGUAAUAGUAUUGCUCAAGCAGAGACUGUUUCUCCAGCUUCAGCGUCAUUUUCCACUUUAGCUUAAGGCCUUUCUGAAGUUACAUAGACCAGAUUAAAAUGGUGGUCUUAUAAGAAAAUAAGAAUAUCCACCUUGGACACUGCAGCAUCUUUCCAUUAAAAAUGUUUUCAUUUAGGUUUUAAAAAUUAUUUUUCUGCGAGGAUGAUACUAAGUGUAUUUCCAUUAGAAGGUUUUAAAGAAUUUUACAAAAUAAGUAAUAGUACCCCAUUUUACAGCUGGGCAACUGAGGAGUAGAAUUUUUAACCAGAUUUCCACAAGUCACAUAGGAAAUACUUUCUGAUGUGGGAACAAAACAUAUAUCUUGCUCUCAUUAGCACAAAACCACAAAGCCUCUCUGAACUGUUGACACUGCUACCUAAUCUCAACCCCGGUGUUAAUGAGGCCACUUACACUCAAUUUUCAGUCAGAUCUGAAAAUGAGAGUCAGAUAUGAGGUGGGAUCACAGAAAUAACUCUGCAGUAUGCCUGAGUCAGGUUAAAACUUGCACCAUAAGGGGAUUAGGGAAUAAGUGCCAAAACUCUUAUCUGUAAUGAUCUCAAUUGAUUCUGACCACGUCAAUGCU
Molecule: long non-coding RNA, 1514 nt
Filed under: Dromaius novaehollandiae (emu)
Lineage: Eukaryota; Metazoa; Chordata; Aves; Casuariiformes; Dromaiidae
Description: lncRNA (ENSDNVG00000008406.1)
Source: RNAcentral